UACCAACUGUGAAGUCAUUAGCUAGA
Molecule: non-coding RNA, 26 nt
Filed under: Callithrix jacchus (white-tufted-ear marmoset)
Lineage: Eukaryota; Metazoa; Chordata; Mammalia; Primates; Cebidae
Also listed under: 1 other name
Source: RNAcentral